CCAACCUCAGACAAGAACAAGUCGCGAGCGUGUAAGUGACCCGCGGCUGCCUGAUACAUUAAAGUCGCCAUGAUACGCUAAGACAUCACCAGAAUUAUUUUAAGUGUAAGUUAGACAGACAGAAAAACAGUUGAACGCCACUGAGUGAUUCUCCACCUGAGGCCCAGGAUAGCCCGCCGCCAGCAGCCACAGCCCAGCGUCCACGCUCGCCAGGAUGCCCACGGAAACAAUAUCCCCCGACAUGAGGGAGGAAGCGGACUUGGAGGAGGAGGAGGAGGAGAGAGCAGCGGACGCCUCAGGGACGGAGUCUGAGGGGGAGAGCAGCCGAGACGCGACCAGCGGGAGGAAAGAGCCGCGCGACACAUCCAUCCAGAGAGAGCUCGCGGACGCCAUAGUUCGCUUGGCGCCCAUCGAGGAGCUCCGCUUCCUACUGCAGUGUGGCGCCAACGUGAAGGACCCCGUGACGCAGGGCCUGUCGCCCCUCCACUACGCCGUGUGGCAGCGCUACCCCGAGGCGGCGGAGUUCCUCAUCGGCGAAGGGUGUGACAUAAACGCUCGGGAUGAGAUCGGCUACACGGCCUUGCAUCUCUCCGCGGAACAUGGCUACACGGAGAUGAUGAAGACGCUCAUCAAGCACGGGGCGCAGGUCAACUUCAACAUCCCUCCUGAGUUCGAGGAUGACUUCCCUACCGAUGCCUUCGACGAACCUUUGCGUCUCGCCAUCAAGCACGAUCAUCACGAUGCUGCCAAAUUGCUUCUGGAGAACGGAGCAAACCCCAACACUCGGUAUUUCUUUGGUUCAGAGAUCAACCUCGUCAACCCCCUCAACACGACCCUCCUCAACCUCCUCCUGUCGUACGGCGCCAACGCUAACGCCAGGGACCGCCAGGGCUUCACGCCGCUCAUGAAGUGCUGUCGCCUUCAGCAGGGCCUUGAGGCAGUGCUGCUCCUCAUCUCCUUUGGGGCCAACGUCAAUGCUACUUUUGAGGCUAAAUCAUGACUACAGGACAGUCCUACACUACGCUGUGCUCUCAGGUUCUGUGCCCAUCGUCAACUUGCUCCUGAAGCAGGGCGCACGCGUCGUCUUUGAGUCAACGUACAACAAGCCCACACCACUGGAUUUGGCCAUCCUCAAAGGUGACGUGGAGAUGGUGCGCCUCAUGCUGGACCACAAUGCCAAUCUGGAUGCUAGUUCCCCCAUCAUUGGCUCUCCACUGCACAUGGCUUGUAGUGAGGGGAUUCCCAACCGCCUGGAGAUUCUCAAACUUCUGUUAGAGCGAGGUGCCAACCCAAACCUUGUGAUUGUGGGUGAGGAUAACUCUCCAAUCAAGCCAGCCCUUGGGGAGUACCUGGCCUCCAAUGAAAACCCAGAAGUGGAAGUGGUGAACCUUUUCCUGAAGCAUGGUGCUGAGGUGGUCAUGCAGAGCCAGAGCAGAGACCCUCGUGGCCUCCUCAACUGCUUGCCCAACCUCACGAAGAGACCCGACGUCCUCAUCCCCCUCCUGGAGGCAGCUCAGCGCUUCGACCUGACCAUCAUAAAGCACUCCUCUCUGAUAGACAAUGACCAGAGAAAAUUAUAUCUAAAGGUGGGCCAGUCUCCGCUCCCCUUGAAGCACCUCACCCGGGUGUUCUUGCGCCAGGAGCUUGGCGACAAGCUUCCCUGCAGGAUUGACGAGCUGGACCUUCCUAUGAUCAUGAAGAAAUACCUGCUGUAUGAAAUUAGCUAACUGGCCAGCCCUUGCUAGGUUAAGGUAGGCUUAAGCAGCUCAGCAUGUACAGAUCCAGCUUUUGAUACUCAUGUGUAUAUAAUUUGUGUAUAUAAACAUAGUUUUUCUCAACACAGCCAUGAGGCUUCCUGGGUUGAGAGAUUUAUCAUGAACUUUAUAAUACAUAUUUUUCUUAAAAAUAUAUAUAAGGUACGGAGAAGCUCAGCAUAGACACACCUUGCAUGUGUCUGCUGGAGAACUCUUCCGGGUAAACUAGUUGCUUUGCAUCUCAUUAUUGUGAUAUUUUUAUUCAAAACCUCAGUGGUGGUAGUGUUGUAGUGCCCUUGAGCUACAUGUCUCUCUUUGCACAUCCACAUCCAUAAUAUGUACCAAAAAGAUUUCCCUCAAUAAGUGAAAUAAUAUUAAUAGAAAUAUCUUCAGGUCAUAGAAUAUGAAAUAGAACAAAUACUAAUGAGUGAGACACUCGAUGCUGAAAAAACAUUUUUGAAAGUAUUUUUCUUUAUCAUGUGAUAUUAUGAGGCCACUUAUCAGUAUUUUUUUUACUUUUAACUAACAAAAGAAAGACUUUGAUACAAUGAUGUUCAUAUGCAUAAAGAAAUAAUUAUAGUGCAAGAUAAAAACAAAAUAUCUCCAGGAACCUUUAGUUCUCUGAGCAGCAAAUGUUUCUCUUGAUUUUUACAAAAAUAAAUUUGAUGAAAAGGCUGCCCUUUAUGCAGCAAACACUGAAUGGUCUUUCUUAGUAAGGUCAUUAUGCAUAUUAUAACACCGGACUGCAUUACUUGCAGCCUUUCCGUAUAAGCACUGUGCUGGUAAAGGCCAGUACUCUAUUGGUACAUGGAAAUGGUGGUAGUUUUCUUUGGUAGUAAUGUUCAGUGUUCACUAAGUAUAUAUAUAUUUUAUGUUCACUUUUUAUUUGAUACAUUUUAUUCACCAUUUGCCCUCGUAUGACAUUUUGCAUACACUUUGUUUGCAGGUAUUACUCUGCAUUUUAUUCAUCAUUAUCAUUACCAUCUUCUUUACCCAUUUCUAGUCAAGUGCAGGACAAAGCUAGGCCUUACCCUUCCUCUACCUCUUUCUGUCUGAUGCAAUCCAGCGUGCUCUGGAAAAGGCUUUGAUUUCAUCUCUGCUUAAUCCUCUGUUUGCCUCGACUUCUACAAUACCUGGGUUGCUACUCUGUUGUUUGGGUUGUCCAUCACUUAUCAGUUUUAUGUAUGAUAUAACCUUCUCAAGUCCUUAUCUUAUUCCUAAUCGUCAUUGAAAUAUCUUCAACCUUUGUCUGUUCCCUAAUCAGAAAUUCUUGCUCACUGUCUCUCCAUGUUAUGCUCACCUUUUAUCUUUCCAUUCCUCUUUGUGGAAUUUUUUACUUUCUCUCUAAAACUUUUGUGAUACACCAAGUUUCUGAACUGUUUGUUAGGGCUGGCAUAAUACAAUAAUUGUGCACUUUUGUCUUCAGUGAGUGCCAAGCUGCUAUUCAUGAUAUUACUGUUUCCUAAAAUUAAUCCAUCUCAUCCUAUUUCAUCUCUGAUUUUUUUUUCUUUUCCUGAGCUGGGUUUACACUAAUUGUUUUGUUUUUGGUCAUUAUUAGCUGUCCUGCUGACUGAUUGUUAAACAUAGCUUCAUUUUCUUUAUAUUCAUCUUCAAACCUACUUUCAGACUCUUUCUAUGGAGUUGAUUAAGUAAGAAUGUCAUCUUUGAAUUUAAGGUUGUUUAGAUAAUCACCGUCUAUCUUGAUUCCUUUAUAUUAUCCUGCUCUAAUUUCAUGGAUAUGUUAACUAGACCUGAAUCAUUACUCCAUGAAUAAAGAAAUCAGAGUCAUACAUUAGACGCACAUGAGCUCUUUUGCUCUGUUUGUGAUUUCUGUGGAGCCGAGGUGAAUUUUUUUAGAUUUGUUGUUUUUUGUGCAUUUUUAGUGGCCACAUUUGUAUGCCACCAAACCCUUUUGUGGAAUUAAGAUUUUGUGAGGUAAACUUGAACCAUGCAUUAUUUGUUUAAAAGGAGAAGCUAUAUAGUGAUGCUGUUAGACUGAUCUUUAUUUUAGCAAGCUCUACAGCAGACAGGCUUUUCUAUACACCUGUACAGACUGUCCAAGGAGAAUACAGGCACACUGACCAGACAUGCAUGCUUCUGGGUUUAGUUAAAAAAAUCUUGUACAGUUGCAUAAAAUCAUCUUUACAUAUCAUCAUUAGCUAUAUGUAUAUAGUUGUGGAUUUUGUAACAACAUUUAUGCAGUAUUUUUGUAAUACAUAUGUACUUUAUUAAUUUUUCUACUGUUUUAUAUUUAUCUAUGUAGAUUAAUUAGUCUUGUUUUAAGAUUUUAAGAUACUUAACUUUUAGCCAAAGUGCAUUGAGAGAUUUCACAAGGAAAAUUUUAAAUUUGUGGUCAAAAAUUUUAACUGUUUUUGCAGUAAAAUAAGUUUACUUCCCAGGAAGAGAAGAAGUUUUGGCUUUGUACAAAAUGAAAAGGUUAACAAUAAUGGAAUACUUUAUGGAUACAAGAAAACUUGUUUCAUGGGGAAAAGUUUUCAUAGAGAAAGGCAGUAUAUCAGUAUGCAUAAUUUGCUUGAUGCGCACUCCCAUUGUUAGCAAAGUUCAAUAAACAAAUGGCAAGGAUGUCCCUUGUGCUGAUUUCCUUGAGUAUGUUAAGGUUUACCAUAAUUUACAGAUUUUAUUUGACACUUUGCAUUUUCCAAUUUCAUAUAUAAUAUCAAACCUAUUACUGUAGCCUAUUGCUACAAAAACAGUCUAUGGAUACAGACUACAAAGCUAAGUGUACUACCUAAGCAGUGCAUGUGCCAGCUACUCUGGCAUAGACAUUGAAAUUUGGAAUAUAUUUGAACAAAUAUUGGACAGGAAAAAACAUCCAUGAGGUGAAAUAUUAAUUGGAUGGCAGUGAAUGGAGACUGGGCGACUCAAGGCUGACAUCAGACCCAGUAUGAUGCACCCUGCUAAACCCAGUCAAGUGAAUGGACCAGCACUGAAUGGAUAUGAAGAUCGUGAAAUAUAAAAGUCAAGGUUACUAUUCCAAGCAUCACAGUGGUCAAUGGACUGCUGCUAAUAUGCCUGUUCAGUGUUUCCUAGACUCAAAAUCUGUAGUACAUGGCAAGAGGAUGAUAGAAUAAAGCAGGUCCUCUGUAUAUUGCUUAGCAUAUGAAUGAUUUAAAAUUAGCCUGUAUAGUAAAAUUAAAUGGAAUCAUGUUGCAACCUUGACAAUAUUGCUGCUCCUUGCUGCAUGACUCAAGGAGACAAUGCCUGGUAUUCCACUGUGGAGCUGAGACUGUCCCAGGUUUGCUUUGUAUGAGCUGAGGAGGAGCAUGUAUAGGAUAUUUAGAACAUAGAAUGAUGAGACAUGAAAGUCUCUGACAUUUAGGUGUGUAAACAAAUUAAAGAAAUAAAUUACUAUACCCAA
Molecule: RNA transcript, 5133 nt
Organism: Eriocheir sinensis (Chinese mitten crab)
Lineage: Eukaryota; Metazoa; Arthropoda; Malacostraca; Decapoda; Varunidae
Gene name: ankyrin-1-like
Exons: 10
Source: RefSeq, a predicted model, not a curated record